Melitaea cinxia (Glanville fritillary) is the source of this 982-nucleotide RNA transcript. RefSeq lists it as uncharacterized. The transcript is spliced from 3 exons. NCBI's taxonomy places the organism in Eukaryota, Metazoa, Arthropoda, Insecta, Lepidoptera, Nymphalidae. The record is from RefSeq and is a predicted model, not a curated record.
UACUGAAUUAUCAAAAUCGGGAUUUAUUAGUUUGGAAUAAUAAUUACAAGGGAUAAAUCAGAUAUUUUGGCCAACCCCGAGACGCAGAUGUAUAACAAACACACAUACCAACACCCACGCAAAGCUCCGGACGAAACAAAACGACACAGCGCGCUUCAUCAGUUUACUCGCAGUCUUUAGCAAAGCAACGUCUCAGACAAUUGAAAAUUGAAUUUAAGAAAAAACACAAAUUAUUACCAAAGUGUCUUGUGCGGUAUAAACAGUUUUCUUUGAAAAAUAAGGCAGUACUACAUUCUAUAAAAAAAACUAAGACUUAUAACAAUGUCUGAAACUAAGACUUUGGAAGCUGGUCAACAGCUUGUUAAGAAAACAAUGGAUGAAUUAAUUCAACAAAAACAAACGACCGAAAAAGUUACAAUUCAAGCUAGACAGGAGUUUCGUGAACAUUACCAAGAGAGUUAUGAAGAAGAAUUUGAGGAAGAAACUUUUAUUGAUGAAUUUGGAAAUGAAACUACGAAACGAGUAGAAUCUAGCAGCGAAAGCAAGGAACACACUAGGAGUGCUGAUGUAAAAGUGAAAGCAACUGGAUUAAAUGCUGAACAAGUAAAAGCUCUAACAGAUUGUGCAAAUGAAGCCGGACAGUUAGCGCUCGACUCUAAGCCUGCCAACUAAACAAUGUAAUCAUCAUCAUUAAUUAAAAGUCUAAAAUGUCUACAAGGUUUAAUGAUACAUUAAAAGAUAAAAUGUGUUCUAUGAUUGUGCGUGAGGUGUUCUGAAAAAGUGAUAAAGACUGUUGCCAGUGAUCCUUAAAAUAUAUAUAAAGUUUAGAAUUUUAAAAAUGUAAUAUACGCGAUAUGAAUAAUAAAUAUAUAAUUAAAUGAAAAAUGGCUUGUUAAAGAGUGUUUUUCGAUAUUCUAAAGUAGGUGUUAGUCUAAUUAAUAGAAUUUAUUAUUUUUUAAAAUGGAGGAGGAAGAUGAGGAAA